Molecule: long non-coding RNA, 713 nt
Filed under: Durio zibethinus
Lineage: Eukaryota; Viridiplantae; Streptophyta; Magnoliopsida; Malvales; Malvaceae
Description: long non-coding RNA (DZIB_LNC000595)
Source: RNAcentral
GAGUGCUCUCUCUCUCUCUCUAGAAUUUCUAAUUGGUCUAUCUCUCUCCAAGAAAGGGCGAAGUUGGUUGGAAACUCCACAAGUUUCCAGAUUUCGGAGAAUGCCAUUGUCGUUGCAGUCUCCGGUCACCAUCGACCAUCGAGUCGGUGACCGUUCGAGCCUAAAUUUUGCCCAAAAAAUUGAUUUGGCCUCCUCUUUCACAUGGUAUGAUUAAUUUCUUCAAAAACUCACUGGAUUGGCAUGGAUUCGAGAUCAACAUCACGGUUUUUUCUCCUGUUUUCCACUGCCCCAACGACCGUUAUUUUGAGGUAUGUUCUUAAACUCGAUCUUGGCUAUCUUUUCACUGAAUUUGGAGGCUUAAAAUCGCCUGAAGAAAGCUCGAGACCCCUGGAAAAGAAACUAAAUUGAAACCCAGAGAAAAAAUGUUUCUUUAUUUUUGGUUCUCUUUUGGCUUCUAACUUUGAUUUUUUUUUUUUUUUUGGCUUUGUGUUUAUAGGGUUUGUUGACAGUGGAUGAUUGGUGGAGAGUUGAUGAUGGUGGUAGACUGGGGUUUGGGCAUAACUUGAUUGGUCUCAAUCGGGACAGUAGAAGGGACCUUGAAUUUUGCUUUGUUUUUGGAUUUGAUUAUGGAUCCUUGAUUGAGGCCGAGUUUUUGAUUGGGUUUGUUUCUUGAGGAUUGGAUUUAUGUUUUGUGUGCAGGGUUCAUGGCUUCA